Long non-coding RNA from Hydra vulgaris (swiftwater hydra), 1272 nucleotides. RefSeq lists it as uncharacterized. The record is from RefSeq and is a predicted model, not a curated record. Lineage: Eukaryota; Metazoa; Cnidaria; Hydrozoa; Anthoathecata; Hydridae.
UUUAAGACCAAUGACUAGUCCAAAAUAAUUUAUUGAAUUAUGAGAUUAAAUCAAUAAAUAAUCAUUAAAGUCAAUUAAAAUAGACUCAAUUUAAAUCUGAUUUAAAUCAUGAUUUAAAUUGAAACAACCCUUUAUAUAUUCCAUCUUUCUGAGGUAGAGGGACAUUAUUCUUGGUUUUAUAAUUUUUAAUUUAAUAUCUCUGGAUAUUUUUCAUAAUUAGUUUGCGUAAUGCAGUUAACAACUUUAAGCUUAUACAUUAACUUUCGUUAUAACUUAGUUAUUAAUAAUUUGAUUUAUAGAUUUUUAUAACAAUACAAGAUUGAAUUUAGCAGAAGGCUAAACUUCUGCUCUGGAGACAAAAAAGGAAGAUAGCGAAAAUAACCAGCCAAAAUAAAGAUUAAAGAGACAAAAAAUUGUGUAUAUCUUGGUGUAGAUGAUUUAUCCUCAAUUUCUUAUAAUAAAACUAAAAAUAUUAUUAACCUUUAGGAUUUACCUGUAACUACAAACUUUUUACAGAAGUUCAAUGUUUGCUCUGAGAAGUUAAAUGAACAAAAUUUAUUAAAUGAUAAAGUUGUAUCCUUGAAAGAUAUGCUGGUAUUAUUGGCACAAUGGGCAAGCAUUGAAGUGCAACUUGGUGAACUACUAAAUACAUCAAAUUCAGUUAUAAAAAUUUGAGUAUCAAAGGUAUGCUAAUUAUUGUCAUUGCUAUUAAAAGCAGUGAAGAAUUCAAGUACUUUGAAAGAAAAGAAAAUACGUAAGUAAAUGGUAAAUAUUUUUGUAUGAUUUUUUUAUGCAUUUUGUAUGAUAUCUUAGUACAAUUUAUAUACUUUAAAUAAAAUACUUUUUGAAGAUUUUUUGUAAAUGACAUUUUAUAUUAAUUUAAGUCUAAACUAAAGUUACUUUAAUUACUGCCAGGCUGUGUAUUUUUGCGAGUUAAUUAUUUGGCACAAAUUGGAGUUAAAGGCGAAGGAGAUUGUAUGUGUUAUUUACUAGGAAUAGUUUAUUAAAAUGGCCUAGUUGUAAAAUUAAAUUAUGCAGGGAGAGGAUAAAAAAUUGGAAUAGGAAAAAUGUUGAUUGCAUAUGCUGCUUUUGAAACUUUGAAGUCAAUUAAGCAUGGUUUAUGCAGACAUGUGAUAGAGAUAGCGGAAGAAAAAUAAUAAUCGUGGGCACCAAUUAUCAUAAGCUAAACACGAUUCAAUAACAAGUAGCUCAGUCAAUAUCGAAACUACUCUAUAAAUUUUAUAGUGAAUUUUUUUAUUUAAAACUCAAUGU